AGCCCUAGAAAAGGGACGGCGGCCGAGAGAAAGGAACAGGUUAGCCCAGACCGAGAGGCUACCCGGGGAGGAAGAGAAGAAUGCUGCGGGCUAGGUCAGCAAAGCCCAGGUCUGGCCUUGGAGGCUUUUACUCCGCUGACUUCGCCUCAUGAAAACUCACGUUCUUUAUUCCCAGGAGAUUUGAAGGCUGGGGACAGGAGCUCACAGUGGAUUUAACAAAAUUUGCACGCGUCUCCUCUCCCCCUGUGCAGAGGCAGUACACUGAAGGAGUUAAAGCCUUGGGCUGAGAGGCAGGAAGACCUGGGUUCAUAUAUUCCACCCAGCUGUGUGGCAUUGGCAGAGGAGUGACAUAAGAAGAACAUUAGGAAGAUGGGUGUUGCUGCUCUGUUGUGGAUGGAUUCAAAAGGAAAAGAGCUGGGCAACGUCCAUCACGGGGGAAAGAUCGCCACCUGCUGUGCCACUCUGGGAACUUCCCAAAGCGCCUUCAAACAAGACCUUGGAUUGAGGCCAAGAAGAAUUCAAAACAGACGGUUUAAAGCUGAAAGGUCCUCAGGGGUUAUAUAGUCCCAAACUCUCAAGUUAUAGAUGAGGAAACUGGGACCCAGAGAGAAGAAGUAAUUUCCCCAGGUCACACAAAAAGUGAGGAAGGGCCAAGACUAGAACAUUGAUUUCUGGGCUCCAUAAAAUUCAAUUUAUUCCACUAGAAUUCAGGGGAUUAAGAAUUUGGGUUUUUUAUAACUAUAUCUAGGCAUAAUUGAUUUUGUUUAUACUCCUAUGUAUUUUAUCUUAUGCAUUUAAACUAAAUGGACUGCUUCUGAGACGGAGUCCAUAGGCCUCACCAGACUGCCAAAAGUGGGGGUGGGAUUUGGUCCAUGACCCAAAAACAUUUAAGAACCCCUACAUGAGAUACUGUCUUCUAAACUCAAACCUGAUCACUGUGUAAGCCUUAUAAAGUCAAUCAGUCCCAUUGCUAGGGGACAAGGACAGCUGCCCCUAAAGAAAAUUAUGCAUAAGCAAGUGUUUAUUUAGCAAUUUUCUGCCCCGGGACAUCCUGUUAAAAUCCAUGGUCCUUUGAUUCUAUUUGGGGCUGCUCAUCAGCCCACCAUCCACACAGGGUUCCUCAAGCUGCAAAAGACCCAAAGCGUCCAUCAAGAUGCCUCCCCUGGCUUUAACUUACCCACCUGGUGCCCCAUUGUACCCUCUGUCCACCCAGACUUUGUCGCACUCCUUCCUCUUCCUGCUUAUAGAAAAUGCCUAGUUCGAUCCUGGGAGGAUAUAUCAUGUGUUACUCUACUGCUCAUGCCUUCAUUCACCAAGUAUUAUUAAGUACCUAGAGAGGGGUGACCCAGGGGAAGACUGUGGCUGAAGCCUGGCAUCGAAAGUCCACAAGUCAGAAAUGUAGCUGGGAGGAGAAAGAGAACAGACUCUAUUUGGUACUUGUCGAGUUUGAGAUGUCUAUGAGAUGUCUAGGACAAGACUGUAGCUCAGGAGAGAGACUAAGGCUGCAUGUAUA
This is a non-coding RNA of Phascolarctos cinereus (koala), 1513 nucleotides long. Lineage: Eukaryota; Metazoa; Chordata; Mammalia; Diprotodontia; Phascolarctidae. The record is from RefSeq and is a predicted model, not a curated record.